CCCCGGCGCCCGUCUCCGCGGCGCCCGUCUCCGCGGCGCCCGUCUCCGCGGCGCCCGUCUCCGCAGCGACCGUCUCCGCAGCGACCGUCUCCGCAGCGACCGUCUCCGCGCCGACUUUUCCACGGCGACCGUCUCCGUGGUUACUGUCUCUGGGGCGUCCGACUCCGCAGUGCCCGACUCCACGGCGCCUGUCUCCACAGUGCCCGUCUCCGCGGUGACUGUCUCUGCAACGACCAUCUCCGUGGCGACCAUCUCCACGGUGACCGUCUCUGUGCCGACUUUCUCUACGGCGACCAUCUCCAUGGUUAGUCUGGGGCGUCCGUCUCCACGGCGCCCGUCUCCACGGCGCCCGUCUCCACGGCGCCUGUCUCUGCAGCGACUCUAUGCAGCGACCAUCUCCGCAGCGACAGUCUCCGUGGCAACCUUUGCAGAUGGAAACCAUCCGAUGACUCUUCGGAUCUCCAAAGAUGAUGAACAAUGAGCAUGUGUGGAAGAAAUUAAGUUCUUCUCUGUCAGAGUUUGAGACCAUUUAUUGACAACAAACAUGCACAUGGGAAAGAAGGAAACGUAAGACAGAGUAAAAAGUUGUAGUAUUGGCCGCCGGAGAGGAAGAUGCGAUGUUCGGCAGUGGAUCAAUCAUCACUCAACGUAUAAGCUCUCCAAGAAUUUAAAACGAAACAUCAGGCUGUUACAGAUGGCCGGCCAAGAUUGUUCAAAUAAACACGUCUCCAGGACUACAGGUGCUUCAACCUUCCGUAGACCUUAUUUAAUCACUUGCACCCUUUUUAUGUCUAUUUGUGAAUUUGUCGCUUCCUUGUUCAAAAUAGCAUGACGAGAACUUAAUAAUUCGGAUUGAAUAGAAUUUAAUAAUUUGAAUGAAUACAUCAAGCAGGUGAGCUCUUUCUGCUACCUGUGCAGAUUUACACCUCCAAAUUGAUAUGUUGGACUCUAACCUCGACGAUUAUGAGAAAGUUGUUUAGAGACCUUUUAAACAACCAAGACCCAGCAUACGAGUUCUAUGUUGAUGACCCACAGAACGAGAACUACCGUGAUGAACCAACGUACCAGUUCUACCUUAGAGACUCACAAAAUUCGGGAAAAUCAGGAAAAGAGUUCUGCCUCGAUGGCUCACAAUGUGAGACGUACCUUGGAGACUCGGGAAUUCAGGAUAAGAGUUCUCCCUUGGAGACUUGGAAGGUAUUGUACGCUAUGAACCGAGAUUUGUCCCUUGAGGAGCACAGAACGAACUCCUCAGUACCCCCGGGAUCGAGGAGCGGCUCUGAUGGAGGAAACGCGGUCAGUCCAGGAGGUUCUCCUGGGAAUGAGGAGUUCGGACCCGAUCUUAUUGUGAAGGUGAAGGUGGAGUCUGAGUUCGUUGAUGAUUACUCCUCGCUUAUCAAAGGACCAUCCAUCUCCAGUGUGUUUUGCAAGGACUGCCCUGCAGGCAGCCACACAAUAGGGACUGCAUUUGAGCAGCCCGUGCGUCCAUUUUGUGUUCUGCAUCCAUCCAUUCCACUGCACCAGUGACUUUCUUCUUUCCCACAGAUCACCAGUCCUGGACCAUGGUUAGUGUAAAUAGUAGUUAAAAAUGUAACUAAGUUUCGCAACCCACGUGUGUGUUUGUCUUAGCGCCGGCAAUUUAGUUAAGUCGUCUGUGUGAGUCUGAUAGUUUUGUUACGCAGCGCACUAGGUUAUUUAUUUUUGGGACAUGUAUACAAAUGUCGCACUCAAGGAUCCGUAGAUAAAAUGUACUCGGGGAACCUACACCUGCAUGCCACACGAACGUUAAGGACUCUGGUCGUCUUGCAAAAGGGAGGGGGGUAGUGUUGCGGUUCUCAGAACUGCAUGCAUAUAACAGAUAGGUGCCCCAAGACAGUUAUUCCAUUAUUAUACAUGUAGAUAGUCCCCUAAGAUAGAAAACUUACACAUGCUGGUCACACGCAAAUUUGACGACUCGGGCCAAGUCUGUAAAAAGGGGAGGGGUAGUGUUGCGGAUUUGGAAACCUUACUGCACACAACAGACAGGUCCUAUAGAUCAGCUAUGUCGGUAAGUAUGUGUUUCUAGUUCGGGUCCCGUCCUAUGUUUAAUGGGUGAUUAAUUGUACGUGCACUGUGAAUUAUUUUAUAGUUUGGAUUUUUACAUUUUAAACAACAACGCCCAUCUUCCCUUCUUCACCAUCGGCCUUUCCCACGCACAUGCGUGUCAAGCGGCAUCGUGUUGCGCCACCAAGAUCAUCGAGAACCGCACGAAGCGGAGAGGUCCAAGCUAGAUCCUUACCUCCAGCUCACCUUCCCUCCAAGCUGGAGGUAUCAAUAAAGGCCGCGGCCAUCAUUUCUUUUGGGGGGUGUGUGUCUGCGUGUGGGCCCGUCUUUUAAGUAGAACCGUUAAGUGCCUUAUUCCUUGUAAAUUACAUUCCUUUUAUUCGGUUAACUCUGCGUUCUUGCGUGCUCCCCUCCCGCCAUUGUAAAUAAAUAUCCCUUUUGUUUAAUGUUCCAGCUUGUUUCUGUGUUUCUUUCAUUAGCUUGGGACGGUGUGUAUUGAGAAAUAGCGAGGUUGUAAAUUGUUCAUUUGGACCGACGGGCCUUGGUAACCUCCGCACGGGUUACACACGGUUUGGGCACGGUAACGGCUCGUUCCGAUCGAGAUCCGUCGAGGGUGUGAAUUCCCCGGUAGCUUGUCCGUGUAAGUUAUUAGGUAUAUUGAAGUUUGGCAAUUGACCCUAGCCCACGCGGUCGAAUUAUUGACGAUUCAUGGUCCAGUAAGAGGCCUGUGACCUUUCGGAGUUAUCCGGGAGUCGCGACCUCAGUUCUGGUGUGUUCGGUGGAGCCGACUCUACUGCUCCCUCAAGCGGUCGUGCUCGCCGCCGAUACCCGGCACCGCAACAGUAUUUGCUUUCUUCUCAGAAACUAUACACACAAUUCCGAUGCAACUUCACCACCCGUGAUGUACUAAAGUUUGUUCAUGAUAUUAAAAAAAUAUUGGGAUCGAGGAGGGUCGAUGGGGGUUGGGGGGUUGGCCCGCAAAAUAUGCAUUUGCGUUCUUCUCAGAAACUAGAUGCAAUUCCAAUGAAACUUGAUCACCAUAUUCACCACCCGUGAUGUACUAAAGUUUGUUCAUGCCAAAAAAGAAAUUGGGGUCGAAGGGGUUUUAUGGGGGGAGGGGGGAUUGCCCCCCACAAUAUGUAUUUGCUUUCUUUUCUGAAACCACACACACUAUUUUGAUGAAACUUGACCACAACCUUUAUCACCUGUGAUGUACCAAGGUUUGUUCACAGCAUUAAAAAAAAAUCCAUAGGUAUUUACUUUCUUCUCCAUUAUAUCGUUCCGGUGAUGGGUACCGAGACACCAGCUUGUCACUCAGGGGGAUGAAUCCCCGGUUGUCCUCGGUAGAGCCGGACCUGGGGCCACCGCUCACAAUUAACGUCAUGGUACGGUGGGUUGUUUCAAAACCACUAACGCCACCCAGUCAACCACGAGUUUCAGUGUCCGCCGUCUAAUUAUUCCGUUUAACUAGAGGUCACGUGAUUACCUGAGCGGGGAGCACUCCCUCGGCAAAGCACCAAUAUUAUCUGAUUAAAUUUUAAUUAGGGCAGUAGUAGAGGAUAAAUGGGGUUUCUAAGGCAGUCAUUCAAAUGAAUGGGAGAAAAGGGAAAAACUCUGAAUCAAGGCCCAAAAGCCCAAAAUAGGAGACCGAUUUCCUCCCUCUCCCAUACAAAUGAAUGGGGAAACCUUUCUAACUCAAGCCCCAAAAGCUCAAAAUAGGAGACUGAUCUCUGCCCCAUUGAGCAAAUGUAAAAUUGAGACACUGAUUAAAGCACUUUUUUCCUUUUAUAUUUUCAUUCCAUUCAAAAAGUGAGCCUUACCGGCUCUAUGGACCACACUGAAAUCGUACUGCUGCAACUUUUCCAACCACCUUGCAAUCUGGCCUUCCGGUUCCUUGAACCGUAAGAGCCAUUGCAAGGAGGAAUGGUCAGUUCGAACCAAAAAUUUCCUCCCGUACAAGUACGGGUGGAAAUGGCUCACGGCAGACAGCAUAGCCAAUAGCUCCUUGCGAGUAAGCAAUAAUUUCGUUCGGGCCUACUAAUGGCCCGACUGUAAUACGCGAUCACUCUUUCCACGCCCCCCUGUGUCUGAGACAAGACUGCUCCCAAUCCUUCCUGGCUUGCAUUCAUGUCCAGGGUAUACAUCCCGUCAUCGGUGGGGUACGCUAAAACGGGUGUGGAUGUCAAACACCCCUUUAAUUUGAGGAAGGCCUCCUGGCACUCCCCUGUCCAAUUAAAUCUCAACCCCUUCUCCGUCAAUCGGUGAAGGGGCCUGGCUAUCUCUGCAAAGUUUGCCACGAAGCGCCGG
Eptatretus burgeri (inshore hagfish) is the source of this 4350-nucleotide long non-coding RNA. NCBI's taxonomy places the organism in Eukaryota, Metazoa, Chordata, Myxini, Myxiniformes, Myxinidae. The record is from Ensembl.